GAACAAGGAAAGUCGAAGGCAAGGAGGACAAAUGCGAAAACCGAAGAGCUCUCCAAAGACACGACACUCUAAAAUAACGUGAAUGUACAAGCUAAGCGAAAGGAAGCCGAAGAAGAAGAGAGGCGGGGGAGGGACCCGACCUGGUAAUGGAGGUGGGGACGCUCUUGGAGGCGCUUGAAGUGAGGAGGGGCAUCGAAGUACUUCUCCAUCAUGUCGAUGAAGCGGUCGUUGUCGAGGGCGGAGCACCUGGGGUCCUUCACCACCAGGGCCCCCGUCUCCCUCAGGAUCCGGCUCACCUCCCCGCACAGCCCCAUCAGCGCCGCCCCCAGUUGGGCCCCCACCUCCUCCGGGCGGGAGGUGCUCAGGGCGGGCGACAUCUCCAGGUACGGCGACACAUCGAUCACCGGGACUUCCAUUUUCCGAUCCUCGAAUGUCAGUAGUAACUCGAGAGAUCGCCAAGAAAUGAACGAACGAACGAACGAACGAAUGACCCAAUUGGGAGAGAAAAAAGAAGGAGAAGUAAAAU
Molecule: long non-coding RNA, 526 nt
Filed under: Eucalyptus grandis
Lineage: Eukaryota; Viridiplantae; Streptophyta; Magnoliopsida; Myrtales; Myrtaceae
Description: long non-coding RNA (EGRA_LNC007796)
Source: RNAcentral